CAACACGAUGCGGGAGAGCCGAGCAUCCGGUGUCAUCAUGACUCCGAGCACGGCACCGAAGGAGCAAGCCUCCCCGCCAAUCUCUCAGGUUCAUGUACCGCAUCGCACUG
RNAcentral lists this non-coding RNA (110 nucleotides) under Salinibacterium rubrum. Its description in RNAcentral is "Leifsonia rubra Glycine sequence". It matches the Rfam family "Glycine riboswitch aptamer". Rfam says of the family: This family represents the bacterial glycine riboswitch. The record is from RNAcentral. RNAcentral also lists the same sequence under 1 other name. Lineage: Bacteria; Bacillati; Actinomycetota; Actinomycetes; Micrococcales; Microbacteriaceae.